Stegostoma tigrinum is the source of this 3738-nucleotide RNA transcript. RefSeq lists it as uncharacterized. The record is from RefSeq and is a predicted model, not a curated record. NCBI's taxonomy places the organism in Eukaryota, Metazoa, Chordata, Chondrichthyes, Orectolobiformes, Stegostomatidae. The transcript is spliced from 4 exons.
UACUUUUUCAAUUUUGUUUUGCCUGCAGCGCACCUUCAUGAGGGUUUGGGGCUCAGUAAAUUUCUCUGUCGCUCAUCGAAAUUGUGAAUGCACGUUUUUGCUUUUAUUUCUCUUCUCUCCGCCCCCGCCCCGUGUGAAACAAGCCUGGCAAAGCUACUGGUGUCAGCUCAGUGAAUUUCUCUUGCAUCCAUUGAAAUUGUGAAUAUAAUUUUUUUAUUGUUUCCACCCCCCCCCCCGAUUCUGUGUGUUCGCUCAGUGAAUUUCUCUUACAUUCACAAUUUCGAUGGAUGCAUUUUUAUUUGCCCCAAAUUCUGUGUGCAGCAAAACCUGGCCAAGGCCGCCGGUGUCAACUCAGUCAAUUUCCCUCGCAUCCAUCGAAACUGUAAAUCUCCCGUUUUGUUUUGUUUUGUUUUGCUUUUCUUUUCUGUGUUGCAGCAAACUAAUGAGUGCUCGAUGUCAGCCCCGUAAAUUUCAGCUGCGGUGGUCAGAAUCAGAAAUCCUCUAUUUUGCUGAUUAUUUUUUUUCCCUGUGUGAGCGCACCAAACGUGCUUGUGACAGAUUGGUAAAUUUCACUUAACAUCCAUCAAAAUUGUGAACCCGUUUUUGCUCCUUUUGUUUUUGUGUGCAGCAAAUCUACUGAGGGGUGCCCAGUAAAUUUCUCUUGGGAUUCAGCAAAAUUGUGAAUCCCAUAUUUGCUCAAAUUACCUUUUCUGUGUGUAUGUGUAGCAAACCUAGUGAGAUGCUUUUGUCAGACCAGUAAUUUGUUUUUACAUUCAUCGAAAUUGCAAUUUCCUCUUUUAUUUGCUCAUUUUUAAAAGUGCAGUGUGUCUGUGCAGUGAGCCUAGUUAGGUGCUUGCGUCAGCUCGUAAAUUUAUCUCGCACUAACUGAAAUUGUGAAUCCCCUUUUUGGUCUUAUUUUUGUGUACGCGGCAAACCUCAUGAUGUGGUUGUGUUAGCCCAGUAAAUUCCUCUUGCACUUUCUUAUUUUGGUCAAGUUGUCAUACUUAAAAGUAUGCCAGAAGGGCAAAACAGUUUAAAAACAACCAGUAUUAGUGGGAAAUGAAUGUACUGGUCGUACUGGAGCAUUGCCGGUGAAGAAUACGAAGGCCGUGGUAGCUGUAAUAUUGCCACUGUCUCGUUAGAGAGAGAGUUGUAUGGUGGUCGUUUAAUCUGAGGGUCACCACGCUUCAGACAAGGGGAGAGAUUGGGAAGAGGCCCAGUGAUGUUGUUCUGUUCCUGUUUCUGAGUCAGGAGCUCCAGCAUGCCGAAAUCUUUAAAGAAAAAGCCUUCUACAUCUGUCUGGGGCACUUUCACAUACAUUCCCUGUGUCUUUGCCUGAUGGUUGGAUGCUGCCUCCGUCUGUUUCCUAUUGACUCCUUAACCUUCAACAAACCAUGAACCAUGCUGUGAUGCCUCCAAUGCUGAGCUAAAGUCACCCCCUUGGCUGUACAGAAUGAUCUGGACUCCAAACAGCCCUCAGCCUGCACAUCUGCUGCUUCCUGGCCAAAGUCCAUGAUAUGGAAUAGCUUAGAUGAAGUAAUGGACUGGUGACUGCAUGAAAUAUUUUUACAAAGUAUUUUCUUCGUUUUCCUAUUCCCUCCCUGCCCCAAACCUCCUUCUCCCUCCCUAAACCCUCCUGCAUCCCUCUUCAACCCCACUUCUGACUCCCUCAGGUUGACACCACCACCUCAGAGCACACAGUUAAAACUCCCAGACCUGUUAGAAGGCCAUUCCAGUCUGUGCAAAAGAUUCCUCAUCCUAGUGGUUCUUGGCACCUCCAUCAGCACCCAGACCCCUGCUCCUGCACUUCAGCUGUUUGACCUUGACUCUCCCCUGCCAACUGCUGGCUGUGGUUCCUGGCAAAAUACUCCCAUGAUGAUUCCCUGACUUCCGUAGCUGAUGGUUGCCAAUCGUGUCACAGGCUUCUUCUCUCCUGCCUUAGCCUUGCUUGUAAGCAGAACAGCAGCAAGCACAGGAGAGAAUCAUUCCUACCAUUUCCCUCCAUUGGAAAGUACAGGCUGUUUUAUGACUGGUCUGAUCCUCUGGAACUGGAACCCCACCAGGAGAAGACUUGCCUACCGGAGAAGGAUAGGUGAAAAUUGAGUUUGUACCUCACUAGGGUGUGGGCAAAAUACAUCAAAUAGUUUUAGUUACAAACAAUAAGGAAACUAUGCCUGAGAAUUUAUUUUAAAAAAUUGAAGCAAGAAGAUGUACGUUCUGACAGUAGUUUUAAUGAAAGUGAGAAAAUACAUAGCAGUGUUAUACGAAUGCACAUUUAUUAGAGCUGAAUACAAUUUCCGCUGGACUUUGUAUCAAAAAACACAAUCAGUUUCCUUCAGCAUCAAGUAUAGAGGUAAGAAACAGGAAACAGUGUACGGACCUGUACAACAUUCAGCAGUUACAUGCAGACAAGGUUUUUUCCUGUUUCGUUUACUGUACAGAAAUGUUAAAAAGAACAACAUUUUGUAAAAAAUUACUUUACCCUCUCUUUCCAACCCAAUUUACUUUGCAUGUCGUAGCACCUUAGAAUGACAUAGUUGGUUAUUCGUGAAUUAAUUUAUUAAAUGGACCUGCUACAUCUUUCAUUUCUGAAGAGCAGUUGCUGGUUUUCUGUGCCAUUGUCUUGGUUGCGUUAAAGUUAAGACAGCAGCUAGGUACCAUACCUUACCAGAAUAUGGAUACCUUAUGCCAAAUUACACAUACCUGUACACAAGUAUGUGCACAUUUAUUUUAUGUAUGUACAAAUCCCUUGGCAAAAAUAAUAUCUACGUUUAAAAAAUACACAAAAAGAAAGAAGAAAAUAUGAUAUAAAACUGUAAUAUUCAUUAAAAUAUCUCAGUUUUCUCAAUUUGUAGAUUACUUAUAAUUGCCUCCAGCAGAAAUGUAAUUACAUCAUUUAAAUGAUGUUGCCUUCAGACAGGUAUAUAUGCUCUUUUUUUAAAAUGAAAACAUUUCGCCAUAGUGUGCGAUUUUCCCGAGGUGACACGUGUCAUUUAUUCAAAAGCCAUUGCUUUUGACUUGGCCUGUGGUAUCAUUUCAUUUUUAAAGUUUUUUUUAUUUUGAUUUAUGCUGACCCCAUUGGUAAAUAAUGAGGAUUCCAAAAAACAUGAAGUUUGAAUACUUGCCUCUUUUUUAAGGUUUUUUUUUCAGAUCGUCAGAGUCUAAAUGUCAUAUCAAUGUGGUGCAGCUUCUAAUUCAACCCUAAUUUAAUAUUAAUCAGAUUUAUACAGCCAGUUACAUAAACUUCUGUCUGUCAAUCAUAUGCAUCAGGAAGUAAAUAGAGAUUGAGGAUUGUAGGAAGUGUCUGGAAAGCACUUAUUGGCGGUUGAUGGGUAAAAUGAGUAGAUGGAUGCUGAUGGAACUGCAAACCUGACUUGAAAUUUGUGAAUAAGCUGAUCUGCAUCGAGUUACUGCAGCUCUUAGCAAGCUGCCACUAGCCCAUCAGCAAUUGGUUACAUCAUUUACUAAAAUGAGAAUAUCUUGGGUGAUCCCUUUUGAUGGCUGAGUACAUAUCUCUGUUGGCUUUCUGCUUGCUGAAGUUGUAUUACAGGGUCACUGUGAUUUGGAGUCUGGUUUAAACAAUAAAUAAAAAUCAAGAAAUCAACUGCUUUUGGAGAAUUUUCUAGUACAUAAAUGUUCAGCUGCAACUUCACAGAAUAUCAUUUUUGAUGGCAAUUUAUGGAGUAGCAGUGAAGUUUUGUCUGAAAAUAAUGAAAGUUAAUAAGAGCUCUCACUUUA